Molecule: long non-coding RNA, 441 nt
Organism: Carassius carassius (crucian carp)
Lineage: Eukaryota; Metazoa; Chordata; Actinopteri; Cypriniformes; Cyprinidae
Exons: 2
Source: RefSeq, a predicted model, not a curated record
UUCAGACAUUCAACUUCAGAUGUUUUUCCGGUGGUAAAAAGUGUUUGAAAUGCCCACACAGCCUGCCAUUCCUUGCCCUUUAAAGAGGAUUACGCUCAUGUUUGUGCCUGGCGGGACAGACUUAGACCACAGCUGAAAGGAUUUUCAGCCCUGAUAACAAGCCAAACUACGAGAGUUAACAAAAGCGGUUUACCAACCAGAAACAUUAUAAACUUCCUCAGAAUAAUUCACCAGUGUAAAUCACUAAUUUAAUUAGGGAAGAGAAGACAAUAGUCAAAUCUGCAAAGUCAUAACUUUAUUGUCCUUGAUAAAAAGAUAUCAUGCAGUUGAGUAUCUAUCAUAAAAUGUUCAAAAAAAGUAAUCAACAAAAAUUCAGAUCAGCCUGGAUUGAAUGGUUUGCUUGAGGUCAUUAUGAAGAUUCGGGCUUGAAAUGACUGAAAA